RNAcentral lists this ribosomal RNA (485 nucleotides) under uncultured bacterium. Its description in RNAcentral is "bacterial SSU rRNA". It matches the Rfam family "Bacterial small subunit ribosomal RNA", at positions 32 to 524 of the family's 1533-position model. The record is from RNAcentral.
AAUCAACGCUGGCGGCGUGCCUCAGACAUGCAAGUCGAACGAUUAAAGCUCUCUUCGGAGAGUGUAUAGAGUGGCGCACGGGUGAGUAACACGUAAGUAAUCUACCUUCGAGUGGGGAAUAACGUCCGGAAACGGACGCUAAUACCGCAUAAUGCAGCGGCAUCGCAAGAUGACAGUUGUUAAAGAUUUAUCGCUUGAAGAGGAGCUUGCGGCAGAUUAGCUAGUUGGUAAGGUAACGGCUUACCAAGGCUACGAUCUGUAUCCGGUCUAAGAGGACGGUCGGACACACUGACACUGAAUAACGGGUCAGACUCCUACGGGAGGCAGCAGUCGGGAAUUUUGGGCAAUGGGCGAAAGCCUGACCCAGCAACGCCGCGUGAAGGAUGAAGUAUUUCGGUAUGUAAACUUCGAAAGAAUAGGAAGAAUUAAUGACGGUACUAUUUAUAAGGUCCGGCUAACUACGUGCCAGCAGCAGCCGCGGUAAG